AGCGUACACGGUGGAUGCCCUGGCAGUCAGAGGCGAUGAAGGACGUGCUAAUCUGCGAUAAGCGUCGGUAAGGUGAUAUGAACCGUUAUAACCGGCGAUUUCCGAAUGGGGAAACCCAGUGUGAUUCGUCACACUAUCAUUAACUGAAUCCAUAGGUUAAUGAGGCGAACCGGGGGAACUGAAACAUCUAAGUACCCCGAGGAAAAGAAAUCAACCGAGAUUCCCCCAGUAGCGGCGAGCGAACGGGGAGCAGCCCAGAGCCUGAAUCAGUGUGUGUGUUAGUGGAAGCGUCUGGAAAGGCGCGCGAUACAGGGUGACAGCCCCGUACACAAAAAUGCACAUGCUGUGAGCUCGAUGAGUAGGGCGGGACACGUGGUAUCCUGUCUGAAUAUGGGGGGACCAUCCUCCAAGGCUAAAUACUCCUGACUGACCGAUAGUGAACCAGUACCGUGAGGGAAAGGCGAAAAGAACCCCGGCGAGGGGAGUGAAAAAGAACCUGAAACCGUGUACGUACAAGCAGUGGGAGCACAGAGCAAUCUGUGUGACUGCGUACCUUUUGUAUAAUGGGUCAGCGACUUAUAUUCUGUAGCAAGGUUAACCGAAUAGGGGAGCCGAAGGGAAACCGAGUCUUAACUGGGCGUUAAGUUGCAGGGUAUAGACCCGAAACCCGGUGAUCUAGCCAUGGGCAGGUUGAAGGUUGGGUAACACUAACUGGAGGACCGAACCGACUAAUGUUGAAAAAUUAGCGGAUGACUUGUGGCUGGGGGUGAAAGGCCAAUCAAACCGGGAGAUAGCUGGUUCUCCCCGAAAGCUAUUUAGGUAGCGCCUCGUGAAUUCAUCUCCGGGGGUAGAGCACUGUUUCGGCAAGGGGGUCAUCCCGACUUACCAACCCGAUGCAAACUGCGAAUACCGGAGAAUGUUAUCACGGGAGACACACGGCGGGUGCUAACGUCCGUCGUGAAGAGGGAAACAACCCAGACCGCCAGCUAAGGUCCCAAAGUCAUGGUUAAGUGGGAAACGAUGUGGGAAGGCCCAGACAGCCAGGAUGUUGGCUUAGAAGCAGCCAUCAUUUAAAGAAAGCGUAAUAGCUCACUGGUCGAGUCGGCCUGCGCGGAAGAUGUAACGGGGCUAAACCAUGCACCGAAGCUGCGGCAGCGACGCUUAUGCGUUGUUGGGUAGGGGAGCGUUCUGUAAGCCUGCGAAGGUGUGCUGUGAGGCAUGCUGGAGGUAUCAGAAGUGCGAAUGCUGACAUAAGUAACGAUAAAGCGGGUGAAAAGCCCGCUCGCCGGAAGACCAAGGGUUCCUGUCCAACGUUAAUCGGGGCAGGGUGAGUCGACCCCUAAGGCGAGGCCGAAAGGCGUAGUCGAUGGGAAACAGGUUAAUAUUCCUGUACUUGGUGUUACUGCGAAGGGGGGACGGAGAAGGCUAUGUUGGCCGGGCGACGGUUGUCCCGGUUUAAGCGUGUAGGCUGGUUUUCCAGGCAAAUCCGGAAAAUCAAGGCUGAGGCGUGAUGACGAGGCACUACGGUGCUGAAGCAACAAAUGCCCUGCUUCCAGGAAAAGCCUCUAAGCAUCAGGUAACAUCAAAUCGUACCCCAAACCGACACAGGUGGUCAGGUAGAGAAUACCAAGGCGCUUGAGAGAACUCGGGUGAAGGAACUAGGCAAAAUGGUGCCGUAACUUCGGGAGAAGGCACGCUGAUAUGUAGGUGAAGUCCCUCGCGGAUGGAGCUGAAAUCAGUCGAAGAUACCAGCUGGCUGCAACUGUUUAUUAAAAACACAGCACUGUGCAAACACGAAAGUGGACGUAUACGGUGUGACGCCUGCCCGGUGCCGGAAGGUUAAUUGAUGGGGUCAGCGCAAGCGAAGCUCUUGAUCGAAGCCCCGGUAAACGGCGGCCGUAACUAUAACGGUCCUAAGGUAGCGAAAUUCCUUGUCGGGUAAGUUCCGACCUGCACGAAUGGCGUAAUGAUGGCCAGGCUGUCUCCACCCGAGACUCAGUGAAAUUGAACUCGCUGUGAAGAUGCAGUGUACCCGCGGCAAGACGGAAAGACCCCGUGAACCUUUACUAUAGCUUGACACUGAACAUUGAGCCUUGAUGUGUAGGAUAGGUGGGAGGCUUUGAAGUGUGGACGCCAGUCUGCAUGGAGCCGGCCUUGAAAUACCACCCUUUAAUGUUUGAUGUUCUAACGUUGACCCGUGAUCCGGGUUGCGGACAGUGUCUGGUGGGUAGUUUGACUGGGGCGGUCUCCUCCUAAAGAGUAACGGAGGAGCACGAAGGUUGGCUAAUCCUGGUCGGACAUCAGGAGGUUAGUGCAAUGGCAUAAGCCAGCUUGACUGCGAGCGUGACGGCGCGAGCAGGUGCGAAAGCAGGUCAUAGUGAUCCGGUGGUUCUGAAUGGAAGGGCCAUCGCUCAACGGAUAAAAGGUACUCCGGGGAUAACAGGCUGAUACCGCCCAAGAGUUCAUAUCGACGGCGGUGUUUGGCACCUCGAUGUCGGCUCAUCACAUCCUGGGGCUGAAGUAGGUCCCAAGGGUAUGGCUGUUCGCCAUUUAAAGUGGUACGCGAGCUGGGUUUAGAACGUCGUGAGACAGUUCGGUCCCUAUCUGCCGUGGGCGCUGGAGAACUGAGGGGGGCUGCUCCUAGUACGAGAGGACCGGAGUGGACGCAUCACUGGUGUUCGGGUUGUCAUGCCAAUGGCACUGCCCGGUAGCUAAAUGCGGAAGAGAUAAGUGCUGAAAGCAUCUAAGCACGAAACUUGCCCCGAGAUGAGUUCUCCCUGACUCCUUGA
This 2789-nucleotide ribosomal RNA is filed under the name Escherichia coli O27:H7. RNAcentral's name for it is "bacterial LSU rRNA". It matches the Rfam family "Bacterial large subunit ribosomal RNA". The record is from RNAcentral. Lineage: Bacteria; Pseudomonadati; Pseudomonadota; Gammaproteobacteria; Enterobacterales; Enterobacteriaceae.